UAGGGAAUCUUCCGCAAUGGACGAAAGUCUGACGGAGCAACGCCGUGUGAGUGAAGAAGGAUUUCGGUUCGUAAAACUCUGUUGUUAGGGAAGAAAAAAUGUAUAGUAACUAUAUACAAAAGAGACGGUACCUAACCAGAAAGCCACGGCUAACUACGUGACAGCAGCCGCGGUAAUACGUAGGUGGCAAGCGUUGUCCGGAGUUAUUGGGCGUAAAGCGCGCGCAGGUGGUUUAGAAAGUCUGAUGUGAAAGCCCACGGCUCAACCGUGGGGGGUCAUUGGAAACUAAUAAACUUGAGUGCAGGAGAGAAAGGUGGAAUUCCUAGUGUAGCGGUGAAAAGCGUAGAGAUUAGGAGGAACACCGGUGGCGAAAGCGGCUUUUUGGCCUGCAACUGACACUGAGGCGCGAAAGCGUGGGGAGCAAACAGG
Molecule: ribosomal RNA, 429 nt
Filed under: Verrucomicrobiota bacterium
Lineage: Bacteria; Pseudomonadati; Verrucomicrobiota
Description: Verrucomicrobia bacterium partial 16S ribosomal RNA
Rfam family: Bacterial small subunit ribosomal RNA
Source: RNAcentral